UGAAGAAAAAGUGUGGGAUUUCAAGGAAUCAAGCAAUCAAAAGUGGCGAAUCCUCUGGCAAGGGCAAAGAAAUCGCACCUGAGGAGUAAUAGUUAGAGUACCCGAAUUUAGUAUUCAGAAACUGUUCGAGAUAGCCGGUAGAUAGCCGAUUGCAUCAAGGACUU
Theobroma cacao (cacao) is the source of this 164-nucleotide non-coding RNA. The record is from RefSeq and is a predicted model, not a curated record. NCBI's taxonomy places the organism in Eukaryota, Viridiplantae, Streptophyta, Magnoliopsida, Malvales, Malvaceae.